AUGAUUGACUUUCCAUAACAAUAUGUUUGGAAUAAUUGUUAAAAUUAUAUAACUCUAUUGAAUUCCAGUGUUUGAAAUAAUUAAAAAGUGUAUUGAUUUUACGGUACUUUUGUUAAUAAUAAGACAGUCUUCUUUAAGGGUAUCUUUAGGUUUCAGUGAUAAGACUUCCUAAAUCAAAUGAAUUGAAUUAUUUUAAAUUAUUCUAUUUUUGGGAUGAUUUCCAAUUCUUGCAAAAUGCCUUUUUGUGACUUCUUAAGAAUUGAACUUUAUCACUUAAAAAGAGCUUUCCAAACAUGAAAUUAAACGAAUUUGAUCUUGCGUUUUAAUGGUUUACGAGUACAUUUUUUAGGAAAGGGGGAAAAUAUAAAUAAUAAAAGAACUUGAGGAAAAUCAAAAGCAAAAAA
Molecule: unclassified non-coding RNA, 404 nt
Filed under: Hevea brasiliensis (rubber tree)
Lineage: Eukaryota; Viridiplantae; Streptophyta; Magnoliopsida; Malpighiales; Euphorbiaceae
Source: RNAcentral